GAUGAAGAACGUAGCGAAAUGCGAUAAGUAAUGUGAAUUGCAGAAUUCAGUGAAUCAUCGAAUCUUUGAACGCACAUUGCGCCCGCCAGUAUUCUGGCGAGCAUGCCUGUUCGAGCGUCAUUUCAACCAUCAAGCCCCAGGCUUGUGUUGGAGCCCUGUGGCUGCCGCAGCCUCCCAAAACCAGUGGCGGGCUCGCUAUCACACCGAGUGCAGUAGUUUACUCUUCGCUCAGGGCGUGUGGCGGGUGCUAGCCGUGAAACCCCCAACUUCUCAAGGUUGACCUCGGAUCAGGUAGGAAUACCCGCUGAACUUAAGCAUAUCAAUAAGCGGAGGA
This 334-nucleotide unclassified non-coding RNA is filed under the name soil metagenome. Its description in RNAcentral is "partial contains 5.8S ribosomal RNA, internal transcribed spacer 2, and large subunit ribosomal RNA". The stretch from base 1 to 120 matches the Rfam family "5.8S ribosomal RNA", at positions 35 to 154 of the family's 154-position model. The record is from RNAcentral.